This is a non-coding RNA of Oryza glumipatula, 208 nucleotides long. Lineage: Eukaryota; Viridiplantae; Streptophyta; Magnoliopsida; Poales; Poaceae. The record is from Rfam.
AAUAAGUGCAGUUUUGCACUAUUCACGCUCAACGUUUGACCGUUCGUCUUAUUUGAAAAUUUUUUAUGAUUAGUAUUUUUAUUGCUAUUAGAUGAUAAAACAUGAAUAAUAUUUUUUGUGUGACUAAAUAUUUUCAAAUUUUUCGUAAAUUUUUCAAAUAAGACGGACGGUCAAACGUUGGACACGGAUAUCCACGACUGCACUUAUU